This 742-nucleotide long non-coding RNA is filed under the name Olea europaea (common olive). RNAcentral's name for it is "long non-coding RNA (OEUR_LNC008367)". The record is from RNAcentral. Lineage: Eukaryota; Viridiplantae; Streptophyta; Magnoliopsida; Lamiales; Oleaceae.
CCAGGCCUAAAGACUGAAAAAUGCACAACCAAAGAAAGAAAAAUCAAAGUUGAUUUCAACGCUAAUCAUUCGCUGCAUGGCCAACCUCAGGUUUUGCCUUGCACUUUUUUAUUUUAUUUUUUGUAUGUUAUUUUUACACUUAAAUUCUUAAAUAAUGUUUAGAUUGAUUUAGAAAUUUAAAAUAAUAUAAAAAUAAGAAAACUCUUCACGCUUUUUUACAUCUACGGCCUCGCCUAACCCGAAACUUGGCCUCCAUGCCUUGCCUGCUUUAUGUUCUUUGAACCCCAUUCUUAAGUGAAUGGUGCGUAGGAAGGUAAUUUUUUGAUGAAGAUACAUCAACGUAACUAUAUUCUACCUUAAACAAACUUCCUACUCUACUGAAUUUACAGGCAUGCGAUAUUUUGGUCAACGAACGUAAUGUACUGAAUUUAAAGGCGUGUACUAUUUUAUUAUGGAAUUAGCAUUGAAUUUUUUUUUUUUACCUCAUUAGUUAAUGUACUCGUUUUCUUUUUAUGGGAUCCGAAUGAGUUAUGACAGCCUACAAGAUGGCCUAGCGAGGGCUCACAGUCACAGGGGCGAAAGUCAGUUCGACUCGCCGAACCAACUUUUUCACUAGUCUUCGUAUUAAGGUUACAAACAUCAAUAUUAUUGUGAGAACCAAUUGUUUUAGGACACGUAAUUCUGUAUAUUGCCUCAUUGCGUACACGAUUUGAGGGAAUUUGAACAGGGACUUUCAAAUAAG